GCCUCCUUUGAUCAUCAACAAAUGGGUUAAGAAUAGUAUAUUCAUAGGUUUUAAGGUUACCUCUUAGUGCGUUGAUGGUGUCGUUUGAAACGCCAAUGGAUUCUUAAAUUGCAUCGGCCUUUGAUCUCCAUGCCGGUGUGAGACUUAUAAGAAUUUUUCGAACGAGCUCUCUAUUCGUGAAUGUUUUCUUGAGAGCAUGUAAGUCAUUUA
RNAcentral lists this long non-coding RNA (210 nucleotides) under Nicotiana benthamiana. RNAcentral's name for it is "long non-coding RNA (NBEN_LNC000970)". Lineage: Eukaryota; Viridiplantae; Streptophyta; Magnoliopsida; Solanales; Solanaceae. The record is from RNAcentral.